This is a long non-coding RNA of Helicoverpa armigera (cotton bollworm), 1376 nucleotides long. RefSeq lists it as uncharacterized. NCBI's taxonomy places the organism in Eukaryota, Metazoa, Arthropoda, Insecta, Lepidoptera, Noctuidae. The transcript has 4 exons. The record is from RefSeq and is a predicted model, not a curated record.
UGAAGCAUUCAUAAGCAACUCCUGUAAGCUUAGCGGGACCGUUUCAGGAUUUUUAUAAAUUUUUAGAAGCUCAUCCGACAACACAAGGCGCCGAAUGUUGAAAUACGAACACUCAUAAUAAUGUACUCCGUGAUAAUUGAUAAACACUCAAAAAAGAUGUGAUGUAGUGUUGGAACCUUUUGCAAUUGACAAUAAUCACAAUAUGCUGGGUUAGGGUGUAGCAAAGGGUAUGCAAGGCUUUUGGGACUUAGAAGAUUUUUCAUAAAAAAUGAAAAUGUCUAGUUUUUCAUUUCUAUGCUGAGCUGACCAUUUUGAGAUGAUGAAGAACCAAGGUACGAAGAUUAAAUUGGACAUCAAGAGUAUUUUCAUUGUGCACAUGAUUAUAUGAAUUUCUCCUUGAAUGCUUCACACAUGCGUUGCCUUAAGAGACUAACUACAGCUGUGUAAGUGCAGUUGACUUUUACAAGCGGAACAAUUCCUAUGAAAACCAAUUGAUGGGAUGUGAUAGCUGCUACCAAGAGGACAAUCAUGUACAUUCCAUUCACAAUUGAGAGCUGAAGAUGGUGAAACUAAUGUCAAAUCCAACGCAUUAGGAUGCCAAGUCAAGGAGCCAACAGUAGUUGCUUGACCAUCAUUGAGCAGAACCAAAUUAUUAUCAUCAAUAACCUGUAGAAUACUGCGUCCACGCACAGAGUCCGAGUCACAGCCCCAAGAGGUGUGAUGAGCAUUAAAAUCACCAGCCAAUAUGAAAGGUUCAGGAAUAGAUUUUAUUAAAAGAUCCAAUUUUUCCUUAGAGAUUUGUGGAUUAAAAUUCAAAGAACUAUAAAGACUGACUAAACAUAACUCUUUGUUAUUUACUUUUAUUUUAACACAAGUAUUUUGUAAUGAGUUAUCACAGAAGGUUUUAAUUUGAGUAUAGUUAAUACUUUUAUGAAUGAUUAUUGCAACACCAUUCUUUUCGUUGCCAAUAUAAUUUCUUUCAAUAUUAUAAAGUUUUAUUUUAAAAUCUUGUUGAGGUUUUAACCAUGUUUCACUAAUGAUUGCCAGAUGUACAUUGUGUCUAUAAAUUCAAUAACUAUAGGUUUAUUACUAUUUAAGCCUUGUGCAUUCCAUUGUAUAAUAUUUAAUUCCGAAAUAUCAAUUAACAGGCAGGAGAAAAUUUAUCACGUAAAGUUGAUUUGAGAGCUUCUAUCAACACUGAAUUGGUGUUUGCUUCUUGUUUACAAAUUAUUGUAAGUGUUCCACUAAUGUAUAAAAUGUAUUUAUAAAUUUGUCUGAUUUCAUAAGAUUAUUUAUUUGCGUGUCAAUGUUGCGUUAGAGCUGGGAAUUAAUUCACAUUAAAAAGGUCUGAGUAUGUGGCGUUUCGGGAUUUUAUU